CCUACGGGUGGCAGCAGUGGGGAAUAUUGCACAAUGGGGGAAACCCUGAUGCAGCGACGCCGCGUGAGUGAAGAAGUAUCUCUGGAUGUAAAGCUUCUUUAGUAGGGAAGUAGAAAUACGGUACCUUACUUAGAAGCCUCGGCUAACUACGUGCCAGUAGCCUCGGUAAUACGUAGGGGGCUAGCGUUAUCCGGAUUUACUGGGGGUAAAGGGAUUGUAGUGGGUUGUGCAAGUCUGAAGUGAAAGCCCAGGGCUCAACUCUGGGACUGCUGUGGAAACUGUGAGGCUAGAGUGCGGGUGAGGUAAGUGGAAUGCGUAGUGUAGCGGUGAAAUGCGUAGAUAUUAGGAAGAACACCAGUGGCGAAGGCAGCUUACUGGGCAAUAACUGACGUUGAGGCACGAAAGCGUGGGGAGCAAACAGGAUUAGAUACCCUGGUAGUC
Molecule: ribosomal RNA, 441 nt
Filed under: uncultured bacterium
Lineage: Bacteria
Description: partial 16S ribosomal RNA
Rfam family: Bacterial small subunit ribosomal RNA
Source: RNAcentral